This is a long non-coding RNA of Carcharodon carcharias (great white shark), 2117 nucleotides long. RefSeq lists it as uncharacterized. NCBI's taxonomy places the organism in Eukaryota, Metazoa, Chordata, Chondrichthyes, Lamniformes, Lamnidae. The record is from RefSeq and is a predicted model, not a curated record. The transcript has 4 exons.
AUAGCCAGACCAAAAGAGGGUUCAGCAAGAACUGGAGACAGGAGUAGGAUUUGGGUAGGGCCAGCAUCAGCAGCUUCGUACAAAUCCAGCAUUUAUAUUUGUUAAAAGAAAGAACGAUCUUGCAUUUAUAUGUUAUCUUUCACAACCUCAGAAUGUCUCAAAAUGCUCUAUAGCCAAGCUUUACUUUUGAAGUGUAAUCACCAUUGUAAUAUCAGUAUCACGGCAGCCAACUUUUUCACAGAAAGAUCCAACUAGCAGUAACGUGAUAAUUACCAGGUUAUUUUUGAGUGAUUUUGGAUGCGAAGCAAACAAUGGCUAGGAUACCAUGGAGAACUCCCCCUUCUUCAAACUGGUGUCAGGCACCUUUAACAAGCACCUGCGAGGGCAAGAGGGGCCUAGGUUUAACCUCUCAUCCAAAUGAGGCGUGUUUUGAUUAGAACAUUUGUACAGCUUAUUGCAGCCAUCCUGAAAGCUCAGAAAGUCUCUGGGGGUGAAACUGGCAUUUGCCUAUAGGGUGAAAUGGCAUCAUAGUGAACGGACACCAUAUUUUGUACCGCACUAUAAUUAUUUUGAGUUAAGACCAAUUAGAAGGAAAAUUCUUAUGUUGUAAAAUGAACUGACAAUUCACUACGAGCCUGUUUCACACUACUGGUGAGGACUAAAUCCACUUCCUCUACGCAUCAGCCAUAUGGAUUCCUAGUCUGUGCUUAGUUAACUGAUCUGAAAUGGAGCAGUAGCAGGAUGACACAAUUGGCUCCAUCAUCCCAGUUUGGGAAGACCUAAUCAGCUUAGGUUCUCACAGCCUCUACAGGUUUUGGACAGGAUAAACGAUGUCCUCUCACAGUCCAUUAACCUCUCUAGUCUCUUUGUCAUGACUUGCACUCAAGCAACAAGCAGUCGUGUGGAGACACCAGAAAAGACCAGGUGCCCAAGAACCUGCAGCCCAGUGAGCCAAAGAAAUUGGAAAGUAAGAAAUAAUUUAGAAACACAUUGGUAAAACAAAAAUACGGGCCUUUGCUGUAAGUGGUAUUAUUAUAUCAAAGCACAGGAACUGGCAAUACACUUCAAACCUUCUCAUUGAGGAAACCAAAUUGUUUCAAAAUUGACCAUGAAAAAUUUUCAAGAGUUAGUUUUAGCUACAGUAUCUCCAGCAAUUCAGCACUAUAGAAAGAACUGUGACAAACAACACUGAACUAGCAACACUAGUGUCAUUUAUAUUAUCUUUUCUUCCGCCUCCUCCUCUCCUUGGGUUGCUGUGUUUGCUACAGCAGUAUCCACACUUCAGAAGUACUUCAUUGGCUGUAGAGUGCUUUGGGAAUUCUGCAGGUCACGAAAGGCUCUAUAUAAAUGCAAGUCUUUUACUAUUGUCUAUUGUACUUCCUCUAGCCAGGCGAGAUGCAGGUUUCUAUCUGAGCACUGUGAACAUUGCUCUGUGGCUGGUUGGCAGAAGCUAUAAUCAGGAGAAGGGCAAGAUGUAUAUUUUGAGAUGCACUGCCUCCAAUCAGUCAUGCAACAGGAACCUUGGCCUCUGAAGGAGUUGUCACAUUCAGCUGAUGGAAGCCUUUCUUUCCAUUAAGAUUUGUGCAAAGUGCCAGAAAGUGAGGUUAUCUAAACACCAUUACAUUCAUUUGCACAGAGCAUGUAUAUAUGAAUAUCAGUCCCUCGGAGGAAUAUGAUCAAGUUGAUUCUAUUCUCUUCCAAGCUUCCCUACAACAGUGUUGUUCCAAUAGGAUUUUGACACUCACCAAACCUGUGGUGAUCAGGUCACCGUACUCGCCACGUGAUUCAAAAUAUAUGCAAAGCAUGGGCUGAAUCUUGUAACAAUCUUCCAGAGAUGAACUGGGAUUGAGGGACAGGACUAAAGAAAUUUCUACUUACUAUUGACACAGCCAUGGAUUUUGUCAGACAGAGGCUGGAACCCCAUCCUCAGUGGAAUGGGCUGCUGCAGGAUCCCAAUGUCCAUUUGAUUUAAAUCUCUCACCUGAUGAAAAGCAUCAUUUGGCCACAUGGCAAGUGGCAAGCACCUUGGGCCACACUGCUGUACAAGAGACGCAAGUUCAUGCAAGACUUGCAUUUAUACUUCAAAAUAAAAAGACAAGAAACUAAAACAAUGGAAA